This 522-nucleotide ribosomal RNA is filed under the name Carabus depressus depressus. Its description in RNAcentral is "partial 16S ribosomal RNA". The stretch from base 396 to 522 matches the Rfam family "Bacterial large subunit ribosomal RNA", at positions 2473 to 2599 of the family's 2925-position model. Lineage: Eukaryota; Metazoa; Arthropoda; Insecta; Coleoptera; Carabidae. RNAcentral also lists the same sequence under 1 other name. The record is from RNAcentral.
GUCCUUUUGAAUUUUUAUUUAAGGUCUAGUCUGCCCACUGAAUUAGUAUUUUAAAUGGCCGCAGUAUUUUGACUGUGCAAAGGUAGCAUAAUCAUUAGUUUUUUAAUUAAAAGCUUGUAUGAAAGGCUGGACGAGGUAAAAUCUGUCUCUAUUUAAAUUAUAAUAGAAUUUAACUUUUAAGUUAAAAGGCUUAAAUAUUAUUAAAAGACGAGAAGACCCUAUAGAGCUUUAUAAUUUAUUAAAUAAAAUUAAUUUAGAAAUAUUUAUGUUUUAUUUAAUUUAAUUAUUUUAUUGGGGUAAUAGAAAGAUUGAAUUAAUUCUUUUUUAUAAUAAACAUUAAUUUAUGAAUAUUAAAUGAUCCAAUUUUAUUGAUUAUAAGAUUAAGUUACCUUAGGGAUAACAGCGUAAUUUUUUUAGAGAGUUCAUAUCGAUAAAAAAGUUUGCGACCUCGAUGUUGGAUUAAAGAUUAUUUUAGGUGUAGAAGCUUAAUAAAUUUGGUCUGUUCGACCAUUAAAUCUUUAC